RNAcentral lists this ribosomal RNA (1124 nucleotides) under uncultured bacterium. RNAcentral's name for it is "bacterial SSU rRNA". It matches the Rfam family "Bacterial small subunit ribosomal RNA", at positions 231 to 1352 of the family's 1533-position model. The record is from RNAcentral.
AUGCGGCGCAUUAGCUAGUCGGCGGGGUAACGGCCCACCGAGGCGACGAUGCGUAGGGGUUCUGAGAGGAAGGUCCCCCACACUGGUACUGAGACACGGACCAGACUCCUACGGGAGGCAGCAGUGAGGAAUAUUGGUCAAUGGGCGAGAGCCUGAACCAGCCAAGUCGCGUGAGGGAAGACGGUCCUAUGGAUUGUAAACCUCUUUUGUCGGGGAGCAAAAAGGCCUCGUGAGGCCACAAGUGAGAGUACCCGAAGAAAAAGCAUCGGCUAACUCCGUGCCAGCAGCCGCGGUAAUACGGAGGAUGCGAGCGUUAUCCGGAUUUAUUGGGUUUAAAGGGUGCGUAGGCGGACUGGAAAGUCAGCGGUAAAAUCGAGAGGCUCAACCUCUUUCCGCCGUUGAAACUGUCGGUCUUGAGUGGGCGAGAAGUAUGCGGAAUGCGUGGUGUAGCGGUGAAAUGCAUAGAUAUCACGCAGAACUCCGAUUGCGAAGGCAGCAUACCGGCGCCCGACUGACGCUGAGGCACGAAAGCGUGGGUAUCGAACAGGAUUAAGAUACCUUGGUAGUCCACGCAGUAAACGAUGAAUAUUAAUUGUCCGGUCAGAAUGAUGACUGGGUGAUACAGCGAAAGCGUUAAGUAUUCCACCUGGGGAGUACGCCGGCAACGGUGAAACUCAAAGGAAUUGACGGGGGCCCGCACAAGCGGAGGAACAUGUGGUUUAAUUCGAUGAUACGCGAGGAACCUUACCCGGGCUCAAACGUAGAAUGACAGACGGUGAAAGCCGUUCUCCCUUCGGGGCAGUCUACGAGGUGCUGCAUGGUUGUCGUCAGCUCGUGCCGUGAGGUGUCGGCUUAAGUGCCAUAACGAGCGCAACCCCCAUCUACAGUUGCUAACAGGUAAAGCUGAGGACUCUGUGGAGACUGCCGGCGCAAGCUGUGAGGAAGGCGGGGAUGACGUCAAAUCAGCACGGCCCUUACGUCCGGGGCGACACACGUGUUACAAUGGCAGGUACAGCGGGAAGCCAUAUGGCGACAUAGAGCGGAACCCGAAAACCUGUCUCAGUUCGGAUUGGAGUCUGCAACUCGACUCCAUGAAGCUGGAUUCGCUAGUAAUCGCGCAUCAG